Molecule: long non-coding RNA, 522 nt
Filed under: Mus musculus (house mouse)
Lineage: Eukaryota; Metazoa; Chordata; Mammalia; Rodentia; Muridae
Description: RIKEN cDNA 4921531P14 gene (4921531P14Rik)
Source: RNAcentral
GUGUGUUGGAUUUCCGUGGUCUCCUCAACCAGGGCAACCACAGAGAGACCUCCUGGUGGCAAAGGCCAGCAUCCUGCUUUCCUAAGCAUCUGAAAUGAAGGCUCUUCGGGUCCAACACCUGAGUCCUUGAGCUGACAAGACAGAAUUUGAGCUUCCAUAUUCAUCUGCUAACUCCUUCCUCCGCUGAGAAGUCUGCUUUCGUGAGGUUGCAUGGCUGACAGUCAUUUGGCUUCUUGGGCUGAUCCACAAGACCAGUAGCAUUAUGGGAAGGAGCUGGGAAGGAGCUGGGAAGGCCAGGAAGAUGCUCCUGAGCACCAGUUUCAAUGAGCAGAGGAACAACGGGCUUUAUGGACCAUUUCAUUCUGGAGUGCCAAGUAAACUAAGGUCCUUGCAGGCAGAGACAUUAUCCAGAACGUUCGGAGCAGAGGCAGUAUAAUUCACCACAUGAAAGAAAACCUUCACUAAGUUAAAAUCUUUGCUGUGCUGGGGCAUUGAAAAUAUUUGGAAAAUAAUCUUCAUUCC